GGCGGGACACGUGGUAUCCUGUCUGAAUAUGGGGGGACCAUCCUCCAAGGCUAAAUACUCCUGACUGACCGAUAGUGAACCAGUACCGUGAGGGAAAGGCGAAAAGAACCCCGGCGAGGGGAGUGAAAAAGAACCUGAAACCGUGUACGUACAAGCAGUGGGAGCACCCUUUGGGGUGUGACUGCGUACCUUUUGUAUAAUGGGUCAGCGACUUAUAUUCUGUAGCAAGGUUAACCGCAUAGGGGAGCCGGAGGGAAACCGAGUCUUAAUUGGGCGUUAAGUUGCAGGGUAUAGACCCGAAACCCGGUGAUCUAGCCAUGGGCAGGUUGAAGGUUGGGUAACACUAACUGGAGGACCGAACCGACUAAUGUUGAAAAAUUAGCGGAUGACCUGUGGCUGGGGGUGAAAGGCCAAUCAAACCGGGAGAUAGCUGGUUCUCCCCGAAAGCUAUUUAGGUAGCGCCUCGUGAAUUCAUCUCCGGGGGUAGAGCACUGUUUCGGCUAGGGGGCCAUCCCGGCUUACCAACCCGAUGCAAACUGCGAAUACCGGAGAAUGUUAUCACGGGAGACACACGGCGGGUGCUAACGUCCGUCGUGAAGAGGGAAACAACCCAGACCGCCAGCUAAGGUCCCAAAGUCAUGGUUAAGUGGGAAACGAUGUGGGAAGGCCCAGACAGCCAGGAUGUUGGCUUAGAAGCAGCCAUCAUUUAAAGAAAGCGUAAUAGCUCACUGGUCGAGUCGGCCUGCGCGGAAGAUGUAACGGGGCUAAACCAUGCACCGAAGCUGCGGCAGCGACACUCAGGUGUUGUUGGGUAGGGGAGCGUUCUGUAAGCCUGCGAAGGUGUGUCGUGAGGCAUGCUGGAGGUAUCAGAAGUGCGAAUGCUGACAUAAGUAACGAUAAAGCGGGUGAAAAGCCCGCUCGCCGGAAGACCAAGGGUUCCUGUCCAACGUUAAUCGGGGCAGGGUGAGUCGACCCCUAAGGCGAGGCCGAAAGGCGUAGUCGAUGGGAAACGGGUUAAUAUUCCCGUACUUGGUGUUACUGCGAAGGGGGGACGGAGAAGGCUAUGUUGGCCGGGCGACGGUUGUCCCGGUUUAAGCGUGUAGGUGUGUGUUCCAGGUAAAUCCGGUUCACUUUAACACUGAGGCGUGAUGACGAGGCACUACGGUGCUGAAGCAACAAAUGCCCUGCUUCCAGGAAAAGCCUCUAAGCAUCAGGUAACAUCAAAUCGUACCCCAAACCGACACAGGUGGUCAGGUAGAGAAUACCAAGGCGCUUGAGAGAACUCGGGUGAAGGAACUAGGCAAAAUGGUGCCGUAACUUCGGGAGAAGGCACGCUGACACGUAGGUGAAGUGAUUUACUCACGGAGCUGAAGUCAGUCGAAGAUACCAGCUGGCUGCAACUGUUUAUUAAAAACACAGCACUGUGCAAACACGAAAGUGGACGUAUACGGUGUGACGCCUGCCCGGUGCCGGAAGGUUAAUUGAUGGGGUCAGCGCAAGCGAAGCUCCUGAUCGAAGCCCCGGUAAACGGCGGCCGUAACUAUAACGGUCCUAAGGUAGCGAAAUUCCUUGUCGGGUAAGUUCCGACCUGCACGAAUGGCGUAAUGAUGGCCAGGCUGUCUCCACCCGAGACUCAGUGAAAUUGAACUCGCUGUGAAGAUGCAGUGUACCCGCGGCAAGACGGAAAGACCCCGUGAACCUUUACUAUAGCUUGACACUGAACAUUGAGCCUUGAUGUGUAGGAUAGGUGGGAGGCUUUGAAGUGUGG
Molecule: ribosomal RNA, 1768 nt
Filed under: Salmonella enterica subsp. enterica serovar Oranienburg
Lineage: Bacteria; Pseudomonadati; Pseudomonadota; Gammaproteobacteria; Enterobacterales; Enterobacteriaceae
Description: partial 23S ribosomal RNA
Rfam family: Bacterial large subunit ribosomal RNA
Source: RNAcentral